This 667-nucleotide non-coding RNA is filed under the name Trichobilharzia regenti. Its description in RNAcentral is "Eukaryotic large subunit ribosomal RNA". It matches the Rfam family "Eukaryotic large subunit ribosomal RNA", at positions 1498 to 1868 of the family's 3401-position model. Lineage: Eukaryota; Metazoa; Platyhelminthes; Trematoda; Strigeidida; Schistosomatidae. The record is from Rfam by way of RNAcentral.
GAAAAAAGGAUUAUUUCAUUGAUGGAUGAGAGGUUGGUGGUGCGAAUUGCGAAGAAUCACUUUAUGUGAUAAAGUUAGGCAUCGAAACAAGCUUGGAAAAAGCAAAAUCUGUUGAAUUUCCCGUUCACCAGUUUUUAUAUUGGGCAGAAAUAAUCAGCCUUUGUUGACAGACAGGUAGGCGCAGACGCUUCAAAGAUGUCUACAGGUUAAUAUGAUGUCAUGUGGUUGACGGUGCGGUAAUGCAACCGAACUCGGAGACGUCGGCGGUAGUUUUGGGAAGAGUUCUCUUUUCUUUGUUAGGAGUGCAUCCACUUUCUGGAAUCGGCUUGUCCGGAGAUAGGGGGCUAGCCUCCGUAAAUGUGCGUUGGUGGUACAGUGGUUAGGACUCUCGCCGACCAUGCACAUGGUCCGGGGUUCGACCCCCUGCCAAAGCACACGUGAUAUCUAUGGUUGGCCUGCGAAAUUUGGGCUAUCGAUAUCACAUGCUGAAAAUUUCAUACUUGUGCCAAAAAUACAGUGUGAAAUCAAGCUGUAAUCAAAAUAAAAAUAAAAAAAUAAAUCACCACCCUUCUUGUAGUGUCCGGAGCGCCCCUGUCGCCACUUGAAAAUCUGAGCCAGGCAGUAUAAUUUUCGUGGCAGGCCGUACUCAUAUCCCAAGCAGGUCUCC